GAUGAACGCUGGCGGCGUGCCUAAUACAUGCAAGUCGAGCGAACGGACGAGAAGCUUGCUUCUCUGACGUUAGCGGCGGACGGGUGAGUAACACGUGGAUAACCUACCUAUAAGACUGGGAUAACUUCGGGAAACCGGAGCUAAUACCGGAUAAUAUUUUGAACCGCAUGGUUCAAAAGUGAAAGACGGUCUUGCUGUCACUUAUAGAUGGAUCCGCGCUGCAUUAGCUAGUUGGUAAGGUAACGGCUUACCAAGGCAACGAUGCGUAGCCGACCUGAGAGGGUGAUCGGCCACACUGGAACUGAGACACGGUCCAGACUCCUACGGGAGGCAGCAGUAGGGAAUCUUCCGCAAUGGGCGAAAGCCUGACGGAGCAACGCCGCGUGAGUGAUGAAGGUCUUCGGAUCGUAAAACUCUGUUAUUAGGGAAGAACAUAUGUGUAAGUAACUAUGCACGUCUUGACGGUACCUAAUCAGAAAGCCACGGCUAACUACGUG
RNAcentral lists this ribosomal RNA (497 nucleotides) under uncultured bacterium. RNAcentral's name for it is "partial 16S ribosomal RNA". It matches the Rfam family "Bacterial small subunit ribosomal RNA", at positions 28 to 507 of the family's 1533-position model. The record is from RNAcentral.